RNAcentral lists this transfer RNA (77 nucleotides) under bacterium. Its description in RNAcentral is "tRNA-Arg". It matches the Rfam family "tRNA". From Rfam's summary of the family: Transfer RNA (tRNA) molecules are approximately 80 nucleotides in length. Their secondary structure includes four short double-helical elements and three loops (D, anti-codon, and T loops). RNAcentral also lists the same sequence under 2 other names. The record is from RNAcentral.
GCCCCCUUAGCUCAGAUGGAUAGAGCACAGGAUUCCUAAUCCUGGGGUCGUGGGUUCGAAUCCCGCAGGGGGCGCCA